Molecule: ribosomal RNA, 992 nt
Filed under: human gut metagenome
Description: bacterial LSU rRNA
Rfam family: Bacterial large subunit ribosomal RNA
Source: RNAcentral
AACUAUAACGGUCCUAAGGUAGCGAAAUUCCUUGUCAGGUAAGUUCUGACCCGCAUGAAAGGCGUAAUGAUUUGGGCACUGUCUCAACAGCCCGCCCGGCGAAAUUGUAGUACCGGUGAAGAUGCCGGUUACCCGCGACAAGACGGAAAGACCCCAUGGAGCUUUACUGUAGCCUAAUAUUGGGUUUCGAUGUUGCAUGCACAGGAUAGAUGGGACACUGGGAAGCAGGUGCUUUGGCGCUUGUGGAGUGGCCGUUGGGAUACCAUCCUUGCGAUAUUGGAAUUCUAACCUGCGCCUUUGAAUCAAGGCGGGGGACAUUGUUAGGUGGGCAGUUUGACUGGGGCGGUCGCCUCCUAAAGAGUAACGGAGGCGUUCAAAGGUUCGCUCAGCUUGAACGGAAAUCAAGCAAAAGAGUGCAAACGCAGAAGCGAGCCUAACUGCGAGACUGACGGGUCGAGCAGUAACGAAAGUUGGAGUUAGUGAUCCGGUGGUAUGUGAGUGGAAAUGCCAUCGCUCAACGGAUAAAAGUUACCCUGGGGAUAACAGGCUGAUCUCCCCCAAGAGUCCACAUCGACGGGGAGGUUUGGCACCUCGAUGUCGGCUCAUCGCAUCCUGGGGCUGUAGUAGGUCCCAAGGGUUGGGCUGUUCGCCCAUUAAAGCGGUACGCGAGCUGGGUUCAGAACGUCGUGAGACAGUUCGGUCCCUAUCUGUCGUGGGCGCAGGAUAUUUGAUGGGAGCUGUUCCUAGUACGAGAGGACCGGAGCGGACGUACCUCUGGCGCACCAGUUGUUCUGCCAAGAGCAUAGCUGGGCAACUAUGUACGGAUCGGAUAAACGCUGAAAGCAUCUAAGCGUGAAGCCGACCCAAAGAUAAGAUAUCCCAUUGUUUCAAACAAGUAAGACCCCUUGAAGACUACAAGGUUGAUAGGCACGAUGUGUAAGUGGAGCGAUCCAUUCAGCAAGCGUGUACUAAUAGGUCGAGGGCUUGACCAC